UGACCUACGGGGGGCAGCAGUCGGGAAUAUUGCACAAUGGAGGAAACUCUGAUGCAGUGGCACCGCGUAUAGGAAGAAGGUUUUCGGAUUGUAAACUAUUUUAGACAGGGAAGAAAAAAGACAGUACCUGUAGAAUAAGCUCCGGCUAACUACGUGCCAGCAGCCGCGGUAAUACAUAGGGGGCAAGCGUUAUCCGGAAUUAUUGGGUGUAAAGGGUGCGUAGACGGAAGAACAAGUUGGUUGUGAAAUCCCUCGGCUCAACUGAGGAACUGCAACCAAAACUAUUCUCCUUGAGUGUCG
Molecule: ribosomal RNA, 300 nt
Filed under: uncultured bacterium
Lineage: Bacteria
Description: bacterial SSU rRNA
Rfam family: Bacterial small subunit ribosomal RNA
Source: RNAcentral